Molecule: long non-coding RNA, 646 nt
Filed under: Hordeum vulgare
Lineage: Eukaryota; Viridiplantae; Streptophyta; Magnoliopsida; Poales; Poaceae
Description: long non-coding RNA (HVUL_LNC016794)
Source: RNAcentral
CUAAGCUGAAUCUGCAGGCAAACACAAAGGUGAAGACAAAGUAAUAUGGCUCUUUGAAAGCUAAAUAGGUAUGCAUUCAAGAACCACUAAACAUUGUAACCAAUAUCUUCUACCUUGACCCAAAGAAAAAGAAAACUAUUUACACGGGAAAGCUCCCAACAAGCAAAAGAAGAAAGAAAAAAUAUUUUUGGGUUUUCUCAAAAGGACACAAAACAAGAAAACAAGAAAACAAAAAUAAACUAGCAUGGAUAAUACAGUGGCAAAGUGUAAACACCGGCUAACAAAGUGAAAGCAUAAGCAUGAAUGUAAAGUCGGUGAGAACACUUACUCCCCCAAGCUUAGGCUUUUGGCCUAGCUUGGUCUACUCCCAUGGUGGGAAAUCACCAGCUCCGGGAUACUCCGGAGCAGACUGUGGAUGCCACUGCUGUGUGAGAUCCUCUGGCUCCCACUGAUAAACUGGCGUCUGGUACUCGACUGGCGGCUCGGGCACGGGCGCCUGUGGUUGGGCCAAGCCCCAAUAUGCGUAGAUGUCCGAGGGCAUAAUAGUGUACCUGCCUGCAUGAAGAUCGAACAAAGAAGGAGCACGCAAAGUAGUAGUCUCUCGAGUACCCUGACUAAAUACCAGGUUAUAAAUCAUCCGUCUACU